UGGGGAAUAUUGGACAAUGGGCGAAAGCCUGAUCCAGCCAUGCCGCGUGUGUGAAGAAGGUCUUCGGAUUGUAAAGCACUUUAAAUUGGGAGGAAGGGCAGUAAGCGAAUACCUUGCUGUUUUGACGUUACCGACAGAAUAAGCACCGGCUAACUCUGUGCCAGCAGCCGCGGUAAUACAGAGGGUGCAAGCGUUAAUCGGAAUUACUGGGCGUAAAGCGCGCGUAGGUGGUUCGUUAAGUUGAAUGUGAAAGCCCCGGGCUCAACCUGGGAACUGCAUCCAAAACUGGCGAGCUAGAGUAGGGCAGAGGGUGGUGGAAUUUCCUGUGUAGCGGUGAAAUGCGUAGAUAUAGGAAGGAACACCAGUGGCGAAGGCGACCACCUGGGCUCAUACUGACACUGAGGUGCGAAAGCGUGGGGAGCAAACAGG
This 429-nucleotide ribosomal RNA is filed under the name Pseudomonadota bacterium. RNAcentral describes it as "Proteobacteria bacterium partial 16S ribosomal RNA". It matches the Rfam family "Bacterial small subunit ribosomal RNA", at positions 355 to 776 of the family's 1533-position model. The record is from RNAcentral. Lineage: Bacteria; Pseudomonadati; Pseudomonadota.